This 460-nucleotide ribosomal RNA is filed under the name uncultured bacterium. Its description in RNAcentral is "partial 16S ribosomal RNA". It matches the Rfam family "Bacterial small subunit ribosomal RNA", at positions 28 to 507 of the family's 1533-position model. The record is from RNAcentral.
GACGAACGCUGGCGGCGUGCUUAACACAUGCAAGUCGAGCGGUAAGGCCUCUUCGGGGGUACACGAGCGGCGAACGGGUGAGUAACACGUGGGUGACCUGCCCUCAGCUCUGGGAUAAGCCUGGGAAACUGGGUCUAAUACCGGAUAUGACCUUUCCUCGCAUGGGGUUUGGUGGAAAGUUUUUUCGGCUGGGGAUGGGCCCGCGGCCUAUCAGCUUGUUGGUGGGGUGAUGGCCUACCAAGGCGACGACGGGUAGCCGGCCUGAGAGGGCGACCGGCUACACUGGGACUGAGACACGGCCCAGACUCCUACGGGAGGCAGCAGGGGGGAAUAUUGCGCAAUGGGCGGAAGCCUGACGCAGCGACGCCGCGUGGGGGAUGACGGCCUUCGGGUUGUAAACCUCUUUCGACCCCGACGAAUUUGGACGGUAGGGGUAGAAGAAGCACCGGCCAACUACGUG